AACCACAAUGAGAUAUUAUCUCACACCAAUCAGAAUGGCUAUUAUUAAAAAGUGAAAAAAAAAAAAAACAGAUGCUGGCAAGGUGGUAGAGAAAAAGAAACACUUUUCCACUGUUGAUCAGAGUGUAGAUUAGUUCAACCAGUGUGGAAGACAGUGUGGUGAUUCCUCAAAGACCUAGAGGCAUAAUAGCACCAUUUGACCCAGCAAUCCCAUUACUUGGAAUAUACUCAAAGGAAUAUAAAUCAUUCUCUUAUAAAGGUAUAUGCAUGUGUAUGUUCAUUGCAGCAUUAUUCACAAUAGCAAAUACAGUGAAUCAACCUAAAUGCCCAUCAAUGAUAGACUGGAUAAAGAAAGUGUGGUACAUAUACACCAUGGAAUACUAUGCAGCCAUAAAAAGGAAUGAGAUCAUGUCAUUUGCAGGGAUGUGGAUGGAGCUGGAAGCCCUUAUCCUCAGGAAACUAAUGCAGGAACAGAAAACCAAAUACCGCAUGUUCUCACUUAUAAGUGGGAGCUGAAUGAUGAGAACUCAUGGAUCCAUGGUGGGGAACAACACACACUGAGGCCUGUAAGAGGUGGGGGCAGUAGGAGGAGGGAGAGCAUUGGGAAGAAUAACUAAUAGAUGCUGGACUUAAUACCUAGGUGAUGGGAUGAUCUGUGCAGCAAACCACCAUGGCACCUGUUUACCUAUGUAACAAACCUCCACAUCUGCACACGUACCCCUGAACUUAAAAGUUGGAAAUUAAAAAAAAAAAACAACACAGAAAUCCCAUGUGUUUUUCAUCCCAACUAUCAAUAAUAAUUAUUGCCCUGGUGUGAGUCCAUCCUGCGCAGCUGUUCUCUUGAGCAGUGGUUGUUUAUCUCUGUCCGCCUUCUCUCCCACCUAAGGGUGUGCCACCACCCAUUCAAAGAUUCGAUGGACCUGGACAUGAGCCCCCUGAGGCCCCAGAACUAUCUUUUCAGUUGUGAACUAAAGGCCGACAAAGAUUAUCACUUUAAGGUGGAUAAUGAUGAAAAUGAGCACCAGUUAUCUUUAAGAACGGUCAGUUUAGGGGCUGGUGCAAAGAAUUGCACAUUGUUGAAGCAGAGGCAAUGAAUUGUGAAGGCAAUCAAUUAAGGUAACACUGGCAACUUUGAUGUCUGUACAGCCAACGGUUUCCCUGUGGGGCUUUGAAAUAACACCACCUUACGGUUGAAGUGUGCUUUAGGGCCAGUGCAUAUUAGUGGGCAGCACUUAGUAGUUGUGGAGGAAGAUGUAGAGUCAGAAGAUGAAGAGGAGGAUGUGAAACUCUUGAGUAUAUCUAGAAAGCAUUCUGCUCCUGAAGGUGGUAGCAAGGUUCCACAGAAAAAAGAAAAACUUGCUGCAGAUGAAGAUGAUGACGAAGAUGAAGAGGAUGAUGAUGAUGAAGAGGAGGAGGAGGAUGAUUUCGAUGAUGAGGAAACUGAAGAAAAAGCACCAGUGAAGAAAUCUAUACGAGAUACUCCAGCCAAAAAUGCACAAAAGUCAAAUCAGAAUGGAAAAGACUCAAAACCAUCAACACCAAGAUCAAAAGGACAAGAAUCUUUCAAAAAAACAGGAAAAAACUCCUAAAACACCAAAAGGACCUAGUUCUGUAGACGACAUUAAAGCAAAAAUGCAAGCAAAUAUAGGAAAAGGUGGUUCUCUUCCCAAAGUGGAAGCCAAGUUCAUCAGUUAUGUGAAGAAUUGCUUCCAGAUGACUGACCAGGAGGCUAUUCAAGAUCUCUGGCCGUGGAGGAAGUCUGUUUAAGAAAAUAGUUUAAGCAAUUUGUUAAAAAUUUUUUGUCUUAUUUCAUUUCUGUAACAGUUGAUAUCUGGCUGUCCUUUUUAUGAUGCAGAAUGAGAAUUUUCCCUGCUGUGUUUGAUAAAUGUUGUCCAGGUUCCAUUGCCAAGAAUGUGUUGUCCAAAAUGCCUGUUUAGUUUUUAAAGAUGGAACUCCACCCUUUGCUUGGUUUUAAGUAUAUAUGGAAUGUUAUGAUAGGACAUAGUAGUAGCAGUGAUCAGACAUGGAAAUGGUGGGGAGACAAAACUAUACAUGUGGAAUAAAACUGAGUAUUUUAAUUAAAAAAUAAUACUUAUCAAGCAACCAUGCUGAUAGGAACAGCUGAAUUAUAUUUCUCUUCUCUUCUUUUCUUUUUUUUUCUUUCGAGACAGAGUCUCACAUGGUUGCCCAGACUGGAGUGCAGUGGCGAGAUCUCUGCUCACUGCAAUCUCUGCCUCCUGGGUUUAAGCGGUUCUCAUGUCUCAGCCUUCCAGGUAGCUGGGACUACAGGCCAUGCCACCACACCUGGCUAAUUUUUGUAUUUUUAGUAGAGAUGAGGUUUUGCCAUGUUAGCCGGGCUGGUCUUGAACUCCCGACUUCAGAUGAUCCACCCACCUCGGCCUCCAAAAGUACUGGGAUUACAGGCAUGAGUCAUCGUGCCCAGCCAUAUUUCUGUUUUCUUUACUAAAUAAUGAUUUUAUAAAAUUCCUGACACACAGGUUUUGGCAUUCCUUCUCUGCAGUGUCAUCCUCUCCUAGAAUUUGCCUCUUAAGUUCCAGUCACUUUGGUAACCUAAACUCCAAACAGUGGGGCUUGUGUUUCCUAAUUGGGCUCUACUUUCCCAUCCUGCAAGCUGGGAAAUACCUGAGGAUAAAAAGCUGGAGUCAGGUGGAACUAGCCUCAUGUGACUCCUCUCUCAAGGACUGCAGUCCUUCAAGACCUGCCAUUGGUUGCUCUCUGAGGUCUUCAGACCAUUGUUUUACAUAUGUCCAGCUUUUACAGUUGUUUUUGGCAGAAAGUUUAGUCCCAGAGAAGCCACACUGUCAUAGACAAAACUUAAAAGUCCCCUUUAAAUUUUUUUUUUUUUAGACAGAGUUUCACUCUUGUUGCCCAAGCUGGAGUACAAUGGCACAAUCUUGGCUCACUGCAACCUCCACCUCCCGGAUUCAAGUGAUUCUCCUGCCUCAGCCUCCCAAGUAGCUGGGAUUACAGGUGUGUGCCACCACGCCUGGCUAAUUUUGUAUUUUUUUUAGCAGAGAUGGGGUUUCACCAUGUUGGUCAGGCUGAUCUCGAACUCCUGACCUCAAGUGAUCCAUCUGCCUCAGCCUCCCAAAGUGCUGGGAUUACAGGCAUGAACCACUGCACCUGGCCCCCUUUGAAUUUUUGAGGUAACAUGCACUAUUGAAUCACAGCACAGCCCACUUGGAUUUUAGAGCAAAUUCAUGCUUUUUUCUGUAGUUAACUAUUCUCCUUCUGAAAAAUAGUGCCUGGUCCUGGAGCAGACUGAAUGGCUGACCAGGGAACACUGAAUAAAUAUGAGUCCCACGCUGUUUCUUAUGAGUUGGAUAUUAAUUUGAACAAACCAAAUAUAAAAUUGAACAUGUACAGAAACAUCCCUUCUUCAAAUGUAAGUAAUAAAUGUUAUUUUAUUACGCUCAAGCAGAUCUCGAAGGAGCGAUUAAAUUGAGUGAGUAGGCAGCUCAUGCUCCCAUGACACCCAGUCUUGCUGUGUUGGCAACUUUCCAUCAACUCUAACAUAUGAUCUCAUGGGAAGUUCCCUAUAACCAAUUCCCUGACGAAUAAAAACAUUCAAGCCUGGUUUACAAAUGUUUCUUCAAAAUAUGCUGGGCCACCUGAGUGGACUGCUGCUGCAUUGCAGCCCCAUUUAGGAGGGCCCUGAAGGAUCGCCAACAAGGUAAAUCCUGCCAGUAGGCAGAACCUUUGGCAGUGCAUCUGUUUUUUCACCCUGAUGGGCCUGGUUCCCAGGUGUUCCCAGUACUCAACUUCGGAGCCUCCAGCUUUAACCCACUAUGGAAACAAUCAGCUGUAAUGGAUCAGGGGACUCCUCAACCACCUUCUACCUUAUGGGCAUCCCCUCUCUGCCAAAAUCCCUUUUCCUUCCUAUUUUCUUUGUCUUUCUCCUCCUCUACGUGCUCAUCCUGAUGGGUAAUACCUUUAUCCUGGUGGCUGUGGUGGCCAAGCCCAGCCUCCACAAGCCCAUGUACUUCUUCCUGAUAAACCUCUCCACCUUGGACAUUCUUGUUACCACAACCACUGUCCCCAAGAUGCUGUCCCUGUUCUUGCUUGGGGACAGCUUCCUCAGCUUCCCUGCCUGCUUCCUGCAGAUGUACCUGUUCCACAGCUUCUCCUCCUCAGAAGCCUUCAUCCUGGUGGUCAUGGCCUAUGACCGCUAUGUGGCUAUCUGCCGCCCACUGCACUACCCUGUCCUCAUGACCCCUCAGACCAACACUGUCUUGACAACCAGUGCCUGGCUCACUGCCCUCCUCCUGCCCAUUCCAGCAGUGGUACAGACCUCCCAGAUGGCAUUUGACAUCAUUGUCCACAUCUACCACUGCUUCUGUGACCACUUGGCUGUGGUCCAGGCCUCCUGCUCUGACACCACCCCCAGACUUUCAUGGGUUUCUGCAUCACCAUGGUGGUGUCCUUCCUCCCCCUUCUGCUGGUGCUUCUCUCCUAUGCCCACAUCUUGACCUCAGUGCUUUGCAUCAACUCCCAAGAAGGACGCUCCAAAGCUUUCUCCACCUGCAGCUCCCACCUCCUGGUGGUGGGCACCUACUAUUCAUCCAUUGCCAUAGCCUAUGUGGCCUACAGGGCUGACCUGCCCCUAGACUUCCACGUCAUGGGCAAUGUGGUAUAUGCCAUUCUCACACCUGUUCUCAACCCUGUCAUCUACAAACUGAGGAACAAGGAUGUCAAAGCAGCCAUCACCAAGAUUGCAUGUCCCCAGGAGCCAAAGAAUGCUAGGAAACCCUGAUUCAAAGAAAUAACUUCAUCUUCUCUCAUAAACAUCAAUAACAUAGAGGGAAAAGUGGAAAAUUUAGAAAUCCCAGUAGUUAGAACACUCAUUCUCAAAAUAUUGUCCUAGGUAGUCCUCCAUUAUAAUAAAAUGAUAAUUUUUUUCUUAAUUCAUAGAAAAAAGAGUAGGAUUUUUAAAUUCAAUUUUAAGGUGUGAACCCCAAAUUUCACAAGACUGUGAAUAUAAUUGAGGUCACAUUACCAUUAAUUCAAACAGUUUUGAUUCUUGCAGUUUCCAAGUAUUUGAUUAGGAAGAAACUCCGUCUUUUCCCUUGGAUCUUUUCUUUCAAUGUUUCUGAAAAUCCCUUGCAUUGCCGGCUAUUAGGUAUGAAUUAUUCUUGCCCUUUUUGUUGAAAUAGCAACUUAGAUAGAAAUAUUCCUCAAUGGAAAAACUCUGAAACUGCUCCCAUCUGAAUCCUUGUUGCUUGAAAAUUCACUGCCACCACUGAUUUUCAAUGCCAGACACACAGGAAAUUUGCCUCUGCUAUCUAGACCCGCAUGAUGCCCUAGAAGCAGAGCAUGCCCCUCACCCAGCUUAUGCUCAGGCAAGCAGUGUCCCUUAGCACACCUGUUUGGGUAAAAAACAUUACAGUUAUUUUAAUUAUCAGCACACCAUAGUUUCCCCACGGUGGCUAAGUAGAGACACUGGGUGGCUGAGUGGAGAAUUUUCUCCUUAUCAGAAGUAUGCUGUUCCUGGGGCCACCACCCUUUCUCAAAAUAUGGUCCUAGAUAUUCCUCUUUCUGCCCCAAGUGGCAAGCCCAGGCUCCUUUUUCCCUUCUCCUAUGGCAAAUUUCCUCUUGAAGACCUGUCAGGUUUGUCCACUGAGGGACAUGUAAAACAGUGAAAAGUGUUAAGGGGGAACCCAGGUGACAAAUAUCCUCAUCUUUGGCUCUUUACAGAUAGAGUCCCAGUUUUUGUCAAUCAAGGCAAUACUGUUAACCAUUUUCCCAUUGCAUAAGACCCAAUGUAAAUGGGAACUCAAUGGGUGCAAUUCAACAAAGGAUGUUAUUUGUUCCUGAACUCAGCUUUCAGUGAUCUCAGAGAUCCUGCUAUGGUCAGAAAGGGCUUCCCAAAACAGGGUGAUAUGAAGGCUCUGAGUUUCCUUGUUUACUGACCCUGGGCAGCUGGGAUUGGGAUUCAUGUACUUUUAUCUAAACAUUACUAAUUCUGCAAGAUAUUUAUUUCUCAUUCCUUGAAACUUAUGUCUAAAUGUCAGUGGGACCACAUCCUCAAGGUCUAAAGGAGAUAGCCUAAUAAGUCGCCUUGCCCCUGAGUUGCAUGCACUAUCAGAAUUAACCUAAGGACGUAGAGGGGAAAUUUUUUUUUACUGUCAACUCCACUACCACCCAAUAAACAAUUCCCAGAGUACUCCUGUGUUACUACCAAAGUUCUGUUUGGGGUUUAUCUGUUCAGAACUUCCCUUCUGGUAUCGAUUUCAGUUUCAGGUCAGGGCUUUGGUUUGCUGUGUCCCCAGAUCAUGACAUCUUUUCAUCUUUAGCUCCCCUUCUAGAUGAACAAAGAAUUAAACACAUAUUAAGUGAAUGGUAGGGAUAUGGAAUCUCAGGCUAGUUCUACCCUCACUCAAUAUUUUCCUGUGGUUUCUCCUAAACAUUUGUCAUGAGUAGACAUGAAAUCAUAGCAACAACAACAAUGUUUCUCACUUGUAGCUAUACCUGCUAAUUGGUAGUCUCUCAGUAUUUCCCAACUAAGAAAAAAUUGCCUCAACUUUUGUACAUCAAAGGACACUAUCAAGAGAGUGAAAAGACAACCCACAGAAUGGGGGAAAAUAUUUGCCAAUCACAUAUCUGAUAAUAAAUUAAUAAUAAUUAUUAAAAUAAUCAAUA
Molecule: small RNA, 6659 nt
Filed under: Pan troglodytes (chimpanzee)
Lineage: Eukaryota; Metazoa; Chordata; Mammalia; Primates; Hominidae
Description: processed transcript
Source: RNAcentral